Molecule: ribosomal RNA, 253 nt
Filed under: uncultured bacterium
Lineage: Bacteria
Description: partial 16S ribosomal RNA
Rfam family: Bacterial small subunit ribosomal RNA
Source: RNAcentral
GACAGAGAGGGCAAGCGUUGCUCGGAAUCACUGGGCGUAAAGGGCGCGUAGGCGGGAUGGCAAGUCGGUCGUGAAAUCCUUCGGCUCAACCGAAGAACGUCGGCCGAUACUGCCGUUCUUGAGGGAUGCAGAGGAGAUUGGAAUUCCCGGUGUAGCGGUGAAAUGCGCAGAUAUCAGGAGGAACACCGAUGGCGAAGGCAGGUCUCUGGGCCAUAACUGACGCUGAGAAGCGAAAGCAUGGGGAGCGAACAGG